This 403-nucleotide ribosomal RNA is filed under the name uncultured eukaryote. Its description in RNAcentral is "bacterial SSU rRNA". It matches the Rfam family "Eukaryotic small subunit ribosomal RNA", at positions 592 to 870 of the family's 1831-position model. The record is from RNAcentral.
CAAUAGCAUAUAUUAAAGUUGUUGCAGUUAAAAAGCUCGUAGUUGGAUUUUAAGGAUUAAUGAAUUGCACCGAUUUUUUUAAAAUCGUGAUUGUGAUUUGUUUUCUUUAAAAUUUUGUCAGAUAUUCAUUGUUGUAUUUUGUUAUAUGAUGAUUUCGAUUCUUUUCGGAGGAUCGGUUGUUUGUUGGAUCUAUUUUAUGAAGAUUGUGGAUUAAAUUCAGCAAUGGAUUUGGUUCUGCUUUAUAAAAUAACCGAUAAAUAGAAUUCUGAUUCAUUUACUUUGAGUAAAUUAGAGUGUUCAAAGCAAGCUUAAAAUUAUUUAAGCAAUGAAUACUAUUAGCAUGGGAUAAUGGAACAAGACAUUGGGUCUAUUUUAUUGGUUUUUAGUAACUAAUGUAAUGAUU